GAAUGUGCUGCCGGCUGAGAGGGGGAGGCAGCCUCGAUCUGAGGGCCCCGGAGCUGCGGCCACGCCCAUCGCCUCCAGCCCAGCUCGCCCAUUGGCCAACCAGGCUCCGAGAGAUCUGAGCUUCGCUCUUUCCCAGGUCGGACGCUCGCAGCUCCGUUCCCGGGCUGGGGCUCCCUGCCGUCCAGGGUCGAGUCUGGGGGCCAGGACCUGCAGGGAUGACGUGAGUUGAGGAGGCUCAGCGGAAAGCGACAGGAACGUAAGCUCUCUGAAGUUAAGAAGCAUAGUUAUUUUGUUCACUACUGUAUACCCAGCACCUAAUAGUACUUGGCACAUAAGUACUCAGGAACUAUUUGUCAAAUGCAAGAACGUAUGCCCCGAAAGUAGGAGUCAGGAAAACCAGAAAAAAUGCCUUUAAGUAUUACAGAAAUGCCACAGGCCUCCACUUAAAUUGAAAAACAAGCUAACACCUCUUGAUAAAAAUGUGGAUUGAGAUCAAUAAGCAGCUUCUCCACUCCUUCUGGAAUCUCCACCUGGUUCAGCCUGCCUGCCUCUGCCAUGUCCAUCAGGGUGACCCAGAAGUCCUAUAAGGUGUCCACCUUUGGCCCAGGCUUUCAGCAGCCGCCUCUAUAUGAGUGGGUCCAGUGCCUGCACCAGCUCCUCAAACUUCUCUCCCUCGUGGGGAGCAGAAGCUUCUGGGGUGGCCUGGGCAGAGGCUAUGGUGGGGCCAGCAGCAUGGGAGGUAUCACCACCAUCACGGUCAACCAGAGCUUGCUGAGCCCCCUUAACCCUGAGGUGGACUCCAACAUCCAGGCUGUCCACACCCAGGAGGAGGAGCAGAUCAAGACCCUCAAGUUUGCCUCCUUCAUAGACAAAGUACGGUUCCUGGAGCAGCAGAACAAGAUGCUGGAGACCAAGUGGAGCCUUCUGCAGCAGCAGAAGAUGGCUGGAAGCAGCGUGGACAACAUGUUCGGGAACUGUAUCAACAACCUUCGGCAGCAGCUGGAGCCAGGAGAAGUUGAAGCUGGAAGCGGAGCUUGGCAACAUGCAGGGGCUGGUGUAGGACUUCAGGAACAAGUAUGAGGAUGAGAUCCAUAAGUGUACAGAGAUGGAGAAUGAAUUUGUCCUCAUCAAGAAGGAUGUAGAUGAAACUUACAUGAACAAGGUAGAGCUGGAGUCUCAUCUGGAAGGGCCGACUGUAUGAAGUGGCGAUCCAGGAGCUGCAGUCCCAAAUCUCCAACAUGUCUGUGGUGCUAUCCGUGGACAACAGCUGCUCCCUGGACAUGGACAGCAUCGUUGUUGAGGUCAAGACGCAGCACGAGGAGGUUGCCAACCGCAGUUGGGCUGAGGCUGAGAGCACGUACCAGAUCAAGUAUUUGGAGCUACAGAUGCUGGCUAGGAGGCACGGGGAUGACCUGCGGCAUACAAAGACUGAGAUCUCCAAGAUGAACCAGAAUAUCAGCCAGCUCCGGGCUGAGAUUGAGGGCCUCAAAGGCCACAGGGCUUCCCUGGAGGCCGCUGUCACAGAUGCUGAGCAGCGUGGGGAGCUGGCCAUUAAGGAUGUCAAUGCUAAACUGUCCGAGCUGGAGGCCACACUGCAGCGCAUGAGUAUCUGGAGCUGAGGAACGUCAACUUGGCCCUGGACAUGGAGAUCGCCACCUACAGAAAGCUGCUGGAGGGCUAGGAGAGCUGGCUGGAGUCUGGGAUGCAGAACAUAGGUAUCCAUACGAAGACAACCAGCGGCUAUGCAGGUGGUCUGAACUUGGCCUAUAUGGGCCUCACAAGCCCUGGCUUUAGCUAUGGCCUGGGCUCCUGCUUUGGCUCUGGCACAGGCUCCAGCUCCUUCAGCUGCACCAGCUCCACCAGGGCCGUGGUUGUGAAGAAGAUAGAGACCCACAAUGGGAAGCUGGUGUCCAAGUCCUCUGACUUCCUGCCCAAGUGAACAACUGUGGCAGCCCCUCCUAGUCUGUUCCUCCUGUGGCUGCCACAGACUCCGGGAGGGAGGCUGCUGUGUGGGGGAGCACAGAGAACAGGAGACCCCCCUGAGGCUCAGCCCACCUGCAGGGGAGUUUACUGCCUGG
This is an RNA transcript of Mandrillus leucophaeus (drill), 2078 nucleotides long. It is a transcript of the gene named keratin, type II cytoskeletal 8 pseudogene, with no coding region annotated. The transcript is spliced from 3 exons. NCBI's taxonomy places the organism in Eukaryota, Metazoa, Chordata, Mammalia, Primates, Cercopithecidae. The record is from RefSeq and is a predicted model, not a curated record.